GGUCGUGGUGGUGGUCGUGGUGGUGGUGGCGAAUGGAAGAGAAUAUGUGCUUGAGGCUCGCAGGCCCAGGCUUCGUUUCCAACCAGGCUGCCUCUUCGGCGCUGUCGUACCUUGGCUUCGAACACACCCGAGCUGAAGCGCUGCUUGUGAGUACGUGUGUGAUGGGCCAGGUUCGGUGGCUGGCCAAGUCCACGCAGCAGAAAUGUGCUUCGAUGGCUUCGGAACAAAUGUCUUCCAGAACUCAGAUAUUUGACAACUAUCCCAGUGUUUCAUUGUUGUGUGUACUUCAACAUGUUCCAUUAGCGGCACAGCCAUAA
This 317-nucleotide long non-coding RNA is filed under the name Anser brachyrhynchus (Pink-footed goose). Its description in RNAcentral is "lncRNA (ENSABRG00000002096.1)". Lineage: Eukaryota; Metazoa; Chordata; Aves; Anseriformes; Anatidae. The record is from RNAcentral.